CUGGCUCAGAUGAACGCUGGCGGCGUGCUUAACACAUGCAAGUCGAACGCGAAGGGACUUCGGUCCUGAGUAAAGUGGCGCACGGGUGAGUAACGCGUGGAUAAUCUGCCCUUAUGAUCGGGAUAACAGUUGGAAACGGCUGCUAAUACCGGAUACGCUCAAAAUGAACUUUUUGAGGAAAGAUGGCCUCUGCUUGCAUGCUAUCACGUAAGGAUGAGUCCGCGUCCCAUUAGCUUGUUGGCGGGGUAACGGCCCACCAAGGCAACGAUGGGUAGCCGAUUUGAGAGGAUGAUCGGCCACACUGGAACUGAAACACGGUCCAGACUCCUACGGGAGGCAGCAGUGGGGAAUAUUGCGCAAUGGGCGAAAGCCUGACGCAGCGACGCCGCGUGAGGGAUGAAGGUUUUCGGAUCGUAAACCUCUGUCAGAAGGGAAGAAACUACGUUGUGCUAAUCAGCAGCGUACUGACGGUACCUUCAAAGGAAGCACCGGCUAACUCCGUGCCAGCCGCCGC
Molecule: ribosomal RNA, 514 nt
Filed under: uncultured bacterium
Lineage: Bacteria
Description: bacterial SSU rRNA
Rfam family: Bacterial small subunit ribosomal RNA
Source: RNAcentral